RNAcentral lists this ribosomal RNA (478 nucleotides) under uncultured bacterium. RNAcentral's name for it is "bacterial SSU rRNA". It matches the Rfam family "Bacterial small subunit ribosomal RNA", at positions 335 to 802 of the family's 1533-position model. The record is from RNAcentral.
ACUCCUACGGGAGGCAGCAGUGGGGAAUAUUGCACAAUGGGCGCAAGCCUGAUGCAGCCAUGCCGCGUGUAUGAAGAAGGCCUUCGGGUUGUAAAGUACUUUCAGCAGUGAGGAAGGUGAUAUGUUAUAGUACAUAUUCAUUUGAUCGUUUAGCUUGCAGAAGAAGACACCGCGUAACUCCGUGCCAGCAGCCGCGGUAAUACGGAGGGUGCGAGCGUUAAUCGGAAUUACUGGGCGUAAAGCGCAUGCAGGUGGUUUGUUAAGUCAGAUGUGAAAGCCCGGGGCUCAACCUCGGAAUUGCAUUUGAAACUGGCAAACUAGAGUACUGUAGAGGGGGGUAGAAUUUCAGGUGUAGCGGUGAAAUGCGUAGAGAUCUGAAGGAAUACCGGUGGCGAAGGCGGCCCCCUGGACAGAUACUGACACUCAGAUGCGAAAGCGUGGGGAGCAAACAGGAUUAGAUACCCUGGUAGCUACGAGU